UGACUUCUUUGUGGGCAGGCAC
Molecule: microRNA, 22 nt
Filed under: Oreochromis niloticus (Nile tilapia)
Lineage: Eukaryota; Metazoa; Chordata; Actinopteri; Cichliformes; Cichlidae
Description: oni-miR-10863
Source: miRBase by way of RNAcentral